Molecule: ribosomal RNA, 577 nt
Filed under: Nitzschia sp. BOLD:AAO7111
Lineage: Eukaryota; Bacillariophyta; Bacillariophyceae; Bacillariales; Bacillariaceae
Description: eukaryotic LSU rRNA
Rfam family: Eukaryotic large subunit ribosomal RNA
Source: RNAcentral
AUGCAAAGAACUUUGAAAAGAGAGUUAAAGAGUACCUGAAACUGUUGAAAGGGAAGCGAAGGAAACCAGUGCCGGCUCAGUCAUACUUCCCUGUCUGCUUGCAGAUUGGGCGCUGUGGUUGGCCUGUGUUGUCCUUGGUUGAAUCCGCCGGAAGAGCGCAGUGAGAGUUGAUCUCUGUUGCUAGCGGCGGUUUUGACUGAGGAUGACGAAAUGGUUUUCUUUACCCCGUCUUGAAACACGGACCAAGGAGUCUAACAUAUGUGCGAGUACAGAGGUGGCAAACCUCCGUGCGUAAUGAAAGUGACAGUGGUUGGACAGUUUUGGCACAAUCCGCCGGCCUCAAUCCCCUGGGAGAACGGUCUGAGUGUGAGCAUACAUGUUGGGACCCGAAAGAUGGUGAACUAUGCCUGAAUAGGGUGAAGCCAGGGGAAACUCUGGUGGAGGCUCGUAGCGAUUCUGACGUGCAAAUCGAUCGUCAAAUUUGGGUAUAGGGGCGAAAGACUAAUCGAACCAUCUAGUAGCUGGUUCCCUCCGAAAUUUCCCUCAGGAUAGCUGCGAUCGGAGUUCAAUUUUAUCA